This 301-nucleotide ribosomal RNA is filed under the name uncultured bacterium. Its description in RNAcentral is "partial 16S ribosomal RNA". It matches the Rfam family "Bacterial small subunit ribosomal RNA", at positions 509 to 807 of the family's 1533-position model. The record is from RNAcentral.
CAGUAGCCACGGUAAUACGAAGGGGGCUAGCGUUGCUCGGAAUUACUGGGCGUAAAGCGUGCGUAGGCGGUGAGUUAAGUCUGCUGUGAAAUCCCCGGGCUCAACCUGGGAAUGGCAGUGGAUACUGGCUCGCUAGAGUGUGUCAGAGGAUGGUGGAAUUCCCGGUGUAGCGAUGAAAUGCGUAGAGAUCGGGAGGAACAUCAGUGGCGAAGGCGGCCAUCUGGGACAACACUGACGCUGAGGCACGAAAGCGUGGGGAGCAAACAGGAUUAGAUACCCGUGUAGUCCAUGUCUCUUAUAC